GCCAGUGUGAUAUAAUGGUUAUGACUCUGGGCUAUGACUCUGGAGACCAGGGUUUGAAUCCCUGCUGAGCCA
Non-coding RNA from Phrynosoma platyrhinos (Desert horned lizard), 72 nucleotides. NCBI's taxonomy places the organism in Eukaryota, Metazoa, Chordata, Lepidosauria, Squamata, Phrynosomatidae. The record is from the annotation of a GenBank genome assembly.